RNAcentral lists this long non-coding RNA (1127 nucleotides) under Homo sapiens (human). Its description in RNAcentral is "long intergenic non-protein coding RNA 2981". Lineage: Eukaryota; Metazoa; Chordata; Mammalia; Primates; Hominidae. The record is from RNAcentral.
GGAGCGUUCAGUGGUUCAAUUCUUGCUCCCCAGCACUCAUCUUGCAUGUUGGUGCAUAAUGAACACCACGUAUGGAUUGAAAUCCCAUUUACAGGAUGUUCAGUUACGGAACCUGUAAUCAGGAGAGAGUGAAGUUUGUCUCCCUGACAGUUAAUCCUGAGACAGCCUUCCAUUGCCUUGAUAGGCUUGUCAUUCAUGCCUUGACACCUCUCAUUCAUCUGAGUCUGGCCUGCUGGAUAUGCAAAUGAUAGGAGGACUGAAAAUCAUAAUCCUUCAGCCGUGAUGGCGUCAACGUCACUAUUCUUGGAACAAGCCAUUUUAUUUACUAUCAAUAAAUUGGCUGCACUUAUUAGAUGGCAGAGCCCUAAGAUGUUGGUGGGAGUAUUUCAAAUGGAAUUAACAUGAAGAGAUGCAGAGCUGUAUACUAUCAUCUGUGAAAUAUGGAGAAGGACAAGCAAUACAUAAACAGGGAAAAAGAGAAUAAUCUGAUCUACCUCUGCGGGUGCUGGUAAGGAUUAAAUAAGAAGAUACAUGCAGACCCAGCAUGGUGCCGAGCACACUAAGCAUUCAGCAAAUGUACCAGAGAUGUCUCCAAGAGCACCAGCAACCCCAGCUAUCUGGAUCUGAAGUGGAUAUGCUCAGAGACAUCCUGGCCCACCCCAAAGAAGAUGCUGCUGCACUCAGAAGACGCCAGAGCUAGCCACCACCCACACUGCAAGUCUGGAAGCUCUGCAAGGACCCAGCAAGGCAGCCUGCUCAGCGAAGGCUUUGUCUCCUGUGGCAGGAAGAGCAACAUUAAGAACAAGAACCCCGGGCUGGACUACCCCUGAGAUUUAAUGACCAGAGCUGAGACCCCCAAGACCACAAUGACUAUGGAGGGCUGUCAUUACCCUGCCUGACCCUCUAAUGCCUCUCAGUUCAAGGAGGCCACUGAGUGAAACUGAAGGCUGGUUUUCCUUGGAAGCCAGCGGCCCAUCCACCUGCUCCACUUCCCUGCCUCUUGCAGCCUCCGCUCAAACACUGUCGUGGCUUGGCAGCACUACAAGGCAGAGUGAAAACAGAUACUUCUACCCACAUUCCUAUCUCCUCUCAUUUACGCAGAUUAAAUGCUUUCUUUCCUUGUUUUA